Molecule: ribosomal RNA, 253 nt
Filed under: uncultured bacterium
Lineage: Bacteria
Description: partial 16S ribosomal RNA
Rfam family: Bacterial small subunit ribosomal RNA
Source: RNAcentral
UACAGAGGGGGCAAGCGUUAUUCGGAAUUAUUGGGCGUAAAGGGCGCGUAGGCGGCCUGGCAAGUGACGGGUGAAAGCCCUCGGCUCAACCGAGGAACUGCCUGUCAUACUGCCGGGCUUGAGUCCGGGAGAGGUGAGUGGAAUUCCCAGUGUAGCGGUGAAAUGCGUAGAUAUUGGGAGGAACACCAGUGGCGAAGGCGGCUCACUGGACCGGAACUGACGCUGAGGAGCGAAAGCCAGGGGAGCAAACGGG